GCACGACAACUUGAAGCUGCUCUUGGUCACCCUUGGUGAAAAGGGUUGCAGAUAUUACACCAAGGUAUACGCCCCACCAUUCCAACCACCCUGAUUAAUUUAAUUGUAAAUCAUCAUUCGUCAUCAUCAUAUGGAUAACAUCUGACUACCCAGCUUGAUUAUUUUGAGUGUUAAUUAAGAUAAAUAAUUGCUAGUGGCAUCACAUAAUAAUAUAGUUUUAGCAGCAGGGCAGCUGUCUACGGCCCCUUUAAGGAGAAAGUAAACAUUAGUGUUUACCUACCGAGUCACCUAACUCCAUAGAGUCUAGCUGUUUGCUGUACUUUGUAAUCAUAUUGGAGUAAGUAAUAGAUAACGACUAAUAUAUAUGUUUGUGGUGAAUGUGGGGGGUUUACAGAGUUUCCAUGGAUCAGUGGAUGCAUUCCAAGUGAAUACGGUGGAUACAACAGGUGCUGGUGAUUCUUUUGUGGGUGCUCUUCUUACCAAGAUUGUGGAUGACCAGUCCGUUCUUCAGGUACCAAAACUAACAACCAACCAUUUAUGUAUUUUGUUAAACACAAUGAGUUGGAUAUUAACAAGGAAAGUUAAGUGCCAAUGAUGAUGAAUGAUGG
This 608-nucleotide long non-coding RNA is filed under the name Linum usitatissimum (flax). RNAcentral describes it as "long non-coding RNA (LUSI_LNC007303)". The record is from RNAcentral. Lineage: Eukaryota; Viridiplantae; Streptophyta; Magnoliopsida; Malpighiales; Linaceae.